AUGCCCAUGUUCCUUUUGUCUUUUUUUGAAGUACCGGUUGGGGUAAGGAAAAGACUGGACUUCUAUCGAUCGCGGUUCUUUUGGCAGGGAGAUGAGCUAAAAAGAAAAUACCGGUUAGCGAAGUGGGAUAUCAUUUGUAGGCCGAAAGACCAAGGGGGUAUGGGGAUUGAAAAUCUCGAGGUCAAGAACCGAUGCCUUCUUAGUAAGUGGUUAUGGAAGUUAGCUUCAGGAACUGAAGCCACUUGGGCUCAAAUCCUUCGUAAUAAGUAUCUUCAAACCAAAACUUUGUCUCAGGUCACGGUUAGACCGACUGAUUCACCCUUUUGGAAAGGGCUAAUGAAAGUUAAGCUUUCAUUCUUUCAGAGGGCAAAGCAUGUUGUUGGAAAUGGUGCCAGCACAAGAUUCUGGGAGGAUUGUUGGCUCGGUGAUACGCCCCUUGCAAUCCAGUAUCCGGCGUUGUAUCGUGUUGUACAAAGGCGUGAUACUUUGGUUGCAACAGUCUUUCGUUCCAUUCACUUAAUAUUCAAUUUAGAAGAUCGUUAG
RNAcentral lists this ribosomal RNA (543 nucleotides) under Triticum aestivum (bread wheat). RNAcentral's name for it is "partial small subunit ribosomal RNA". The record is from RNAcentral. Lineage: Eukaryota; Viridiplantae; Streptophyta; Magnoliopsida; Poales; Poaceae.